RNAcentral lists this ribosomal RNA (1005 nucleotides) under uncultured Campylobacterota bacterium. RNAcentral's name for it is "bacterial SSU rRNA". It matches the Rfam family "Bacterial small subunit ribosomal RNA", at positions 505 to 1501 of the family's 1533-position model. Lineage: Bacteria; Pseudomonadati; Campylobacterota. The record is from RNAcentral.
GUGCCAGCCGCCGCGGUAAUACGGGGGGAGCAAGCGUUACUCGGAAUCACUGGGCGUAAAGGACGCGUAGGCGGCCCGGUAAGUCAGGUGUGAAAUCCUAUAGCUUAACUAUAGAACUGCACUUGAAACUGCCGGGCUAGAGUAUGGAAGGGGCAGAUGGAAUUAGUGGUGUAGGGGUAAAAUCCGUAGAGAUCACCAGGAAUACCCAUUGCGAAGGCGAUCUGCUGGAACGGUACUGACGCUGAGGCGCGAAAGCGUGGGGAGCAAACAGGAUUAGAUACCCUGGUAGUCCACGCCCUAAACGAUGGAUGCUAGUCGUUGGGAAGCUAGUCUUCCCAGUGAUGCAGCUAACGCAUUAAGCAUCCCGCCUGGGGAGUACGGCCGCAAGGCUAAAACUCAAAGGAAUAGACGGGGACCCGCACAAGCGGUGGAGCAUGUGGUUUAAUUCGAAGAUACGCGAAGAACCUUACCUGGGCUUGACAUCCCUGGAAUCCCCCAGAGAUGGGGGAGUGCCUCCUUAUGGAGGAGCCAGGUGACAGGUGCUGCACGGCUGUCGUCAGCUCGUGUCGUGAGAUGUUGGGUUAAGUCCCGCAACGAGCGCAACCCUCGUCCUUAGUUGCCAGCACUUAGGGUGGGCACUCUAAGGAGACUGCCCGGGUAACCGGGAGGAAGGUGAGGAUGACGUCAAGUCAUCAUGGCCCUUAUGCCCAGGGCGACACACGUGCUACAAUGGCGCGUACAGAGAGAGGCGAUACCGCGAGGUGGAGCAAAUCUCUAAAGCGCGUCCCAGUUCGGAUUGCAGUCUGCAACUCGACUGCAUGAAGUCGGAAUCGCUAGUAAUCGCGGAUCAGCCAUGCCGCGGUGAAUACGUUCCCGGGUCUUGUACUCACCGCCCGUCACACCAUGGGAGUUGAGCUCACCCGAAGCCGGGGGACCGACCCUUUAAGGGGGGACCCUCGUCGACGGUGGGCUCAGCGACUGGGGUGAAGUCGUAACAAGGUAGCC